Non-coding RNA from Caenorhabditis elegans, 329 nucleotides. Lineage: Eukaryota; Metazoa; Nematoda; Chromadorea; Rhabditida; Rhabditidae. The record is from Ensembl.
CGUAUCCUCCCUCCCCAACAACAAUGAAAUACACACAUACAUAUACGUCCACAUAAAACUCGGCGAACGGAAACAAUGCGUAAAUCUAAUUAUGUCCUCUUGACGUGUGAAAGAGUGCUUCGAGAGUUGUCUAAGUUGAAACAAAAAUGAAGAAGAAACAAGUAAGAAGGAAUACUAUAACUGUUUUUCGUUGUUCAAAAGUGUCGCACUCUACAUUUUGCUUUUCGAUGGGAAAUACAUUUCCGAAGCGCAACGUGAAAUUUGAUAGUCGCCCGGUGGUAGGGAGAGGAGAGAGCGGUGACACAAUUCUGAAAUUGAAAUGCUCUCCG